AUGAGCUCCGCGCAGGACCCCUUCUACAUCGUCCGGGAGGAGAUCCAGGGCUCGAUUGGUAAGCUACAGACUACUUUCCAUCGGUGGGAGCAAGUUUCUUCAAACACCGGAGAAUAUAUUCAUUUAACAAAAGAGCUUCUCGCCAGCUGUGAAAGCAUUGAGUGGCAGGUGGAUGAGUUGGAAAAGACAAUUUCAGUUGCAUCAAGGGAUCCAGCGUACUAUGGACUCGAUGAAGUUGAACUCUCCAGACGACGGAACUGGACCGGCUCUGCUCGUAAUCAGAUUGGUACUGUAAAAAGGGCUGUUGAAAAGGGGAAGAGCAAUCCUGCAAUGGCAAGACAUCAGGACAAUGGCACAAGCAGAACUAACUACUAUUCUUCCCAAGACAAUGAUGACUAUAUUGCUUCAGAAUCAGAUAGACAGCUUCUACUCAUGAGGCAGCAGGAUGAUGAACUCGAUGAGCUCAGUGCGAGCGUUCAGAGGAUUGGAGGCGUAGGGCUUACCAUACACGAAGAACUAUCCGGACAGGAAAGGAUCCUCAACAACCUAAGCCUGGAGAUGGAAACUACUUCCAACAGGCUCGACUUUGUGCAGAAACGAGUGGCGAUGGUGAUGAAGAAGGCCGGCAUCAAGGGGCAGAUCAUGCUCAUCCUCUUCCUGGUGGUCCUCUUCAUCAUACUCUUCGUUCUAGUGUUUUUGACAUAG
RNAcentral lists this ribosomal RNA (705 nucleotides) under Triticum aestivum (bread wheat). RNAcentral's name for it is "partial small subunit ribosomal RNA". Lineage: Eukaryota; Viridiplantae; Streptophyta; Magnoliopsida; Poales; Poaceae. The record is from RNAcentral.